GAGAUAAAGAAAUGAGUGUUUUGCAGGAAAUGUAUAAAAAUAACUGCACUUAUUUUAAUAUUUUAGAAUAGAAAUCAGGGUAACUUCACUUGGGUAAUAUUUUAUUGACUCGUUAGAUCUUCAAAACUAUUUUUCAUAAUAAAUGUCCGCUUUAUGUUCUUCAAAGAACUGCAACAAUAAAAAUAAAAGUAAAAUACGGUAGAAAAUGUAUAAAAUUAAAAGGCUAAACAAACAGUUUUAUGAACAAUACCACAGCUCAAUGCUUCUUCUUUACUUCAGAUAUAGAGCAUAGAGGAGACGGAAGAGAGGAAGAGAGGGGUAGACUAGAGGGAGAGAGGAAGAGAGGGGUAGACUAGAGGGAGAGAGGAAGAGAGGGGUAGACUAGAGGGAGAGAGGAAGAGAGGGGUAGACUAGAGGGAGAGAAGAGAAGGGGUAGACUAGAGGGAGAGAGGAAGAGAGGGGGUAGACUAGAGGGAGAGAAGAGAAGGGUUAGACUAGAGGGAGAGAGGAAGAGAGGGGUAGACUAGAGGGAGAGAAGAGAAGGGGUAGACUAGAGGGAGAGGGGAUAGACUAGAGGGAGAGAAGAGAAGGGUUAGACUAGAGGGAGAGAAGAGAAGGGGUAGACUAGAGGGAGAGAGGGGGUAGACUAGAGGGAGAGAAGGGGUAGACUACAGGGAGGAGAGAAGGGGUAGACUAGAGGGAGAGGGAUAGACUAGAGGGAGAGAAGAGAAGGGAUAGACUAGAGGGAGAAGAGAGGGGGGGUAGACUAGAGGGAGAGAGGGGGUAGACUACAGGGAGAGAGGGGGUAGACUACAGGGAGAGAAGGGGUAGACUACAGGGGAGAGGGGGUAGACUAGAGGGAGAGAAGGGGUAGACUACAGGGAGAGGAACAGAGAGAAAUAGAGAUAUAUGGAAAGAUAAAGAGUUGGAGAGAGGGAAAUAAUUAGUUACAUUUUUCCGUUUAUUUACUACUUUUUCUUUAAUGAUUUAUGUCCCGCUCACAGUCUGAUUCCCAUGCAACCAUGUGAUUGGCUGGCAAUAUUGCUUGGAUGACCUGGGGGAGUUCACUGACAGCAGAUACAAAUACAAUGAGCAGAUCAGAAACAAUGGAGAGUUCUGCCCGUUCUGGACAGUGAAUUUCUAUCUGCUUUGUUCCUACAGUUAGCCCGUGUCUCAAAUGGCAGCCUGUGCACUACUUUUGACCAGAGCCACGUAGAUCAUAGGCCUCUGGUCUAAAGUCAUGCACUUUUAGAGGAAAAGGGUGCCAUUUAAGACACAUACAGUCUUACACGCUCUGAAUGACUUCAUACUCACCCCCUCAACCUUCUCCACAUCGCCCGCACUCACACACACACACACACACACACACCCCACACCCACACCCACACCCACCCACACCCACACACACACACACACACACACACACACACACACACACACCUGCCUGGCUGGGGUUGAUCACCUGGACAACGGGCGGGACAAUCAACCAAUGAGGUGAAGCAACAGGAUGCACGGAGAGGGAGGGCCAAUGACAGUAAAUUAACUCAAAUUCUCUUAGCCAAUGGCAUCAUGAACAGCUCUAUCGCUAUAGAAACACAUGAUAACACGUAAUAUUCAGUUUUGGAUUAUUUUACAGACAUUGUUGAUAUAAAACACUCAUCAGAGCAGGUACAGUCAGUCGUACAUGUAAUGUCUAUAGCACAGGCUGUAAAACAGGGCUGGGCCUGUGGCAGGGGAACAUAUCCUGCCUUUUACAGCAGGGUCACUCACUAAACCGCACCCCGACACAAACACACCACCCGGCCUCUCAGAGACACUGUAGCCCAGUCACACCUCAGUUGGUCAGUAUCUGCUGUGUGUUGGGAGGUGAGGGAAGGUUGAUUGGGUACAAAUUCAGUUGUUACGUGUCCUGUAUCUGUCCCAUCUUGUUAUUGAUGAUUGAUAAAUGAUCUUGCAAUAACAAUAUAUGCCAUUUCUCAGAUGCUUCUACCCAAAGCAACACACUUUUUAACUUAUGGGUGACCCCAGCGGGAAUUGAACCCACAAUCCUGGUGUUGCAAGUGCCAUGCUCUACCAAUGGGGCUACAGAGGACCACCAUGUACUGAUCCAGUUGUUAUGUGUUGUCUGUCUGUCAUUAUUAAGCCCAGUAAUAAUGGUCUGAUGGGCGUAAAGGAAGUAUAUUACGUUGAAGUGAAUAAACCAGGUGGUAGUUUAUUGUAAACCCAGUUGGUAGGUCAGGUGGUAGUUUAUUAUAAACCCAGUUGGUAGGUCAGAUGGUAGUUUAUUAUAAACCCAGUUGGUAGGUCAGGUGGUAGGUCAGGUGGUAGUUUAUUAUAAACCCAGUUGGUAGGUCAGGUGGUAGUUUAUUAUAAACCCAGUUGGUAGGUCAGGUGGUAGUUUAUUAUAAACCCAGUUGGUAGGUCAGGUGGUAGGUCAGGUGGUAGAUUAUUAUAAACCCAGUUGGUAGGUCAGGUGGUAGAUUAUUAUAAACCCAGUUGGUAGGUCAGAUGGUAGAUUAUUAUAAACCCAGUUGGUAGGUCAGGUGGUAGUUUAUUAUAAACCUAGUUGGUAGGUCAGGUGGUAGGUUAUGGCUGUGCUGGGUUUAGGAGUAACUCCUGUAGUCUCUGCUCUGUUAGCAACACAUGGAGUAAGAUAAUUCAACGUGCAACAAUUUCCCCAUAGAGUUUAAACUGCAAACAUUUUCAUUCUUCCUCUUUUCUUCAUCAGCAUCUUCGUCAGCAUCAUCUCACAUUUCGUUGGCAUCACAGAGUCAGUGAUGAAAUGUUGGUGUUUUAUAUAUAUAUAUAUAUAUAUAUAUAUAUAUAUAUAUAUAUAUAUAUAUAUAUAUAUAUAUAUGCGGUAUGUGUAGAUAGGUAGGUAGGUAGUUCUGGUGUCUGGUCUCCUCUCCAGAGUCUUUUGUUUCCAUAGUGUUGAUAGGUUGAUAUCACGUUGUGACGUUGUAUUGUUUUGUACAAUAAACGUCCCAGCAACACUUGAAACACACAAAGCUCCUUCUCCCACCUACCUAUAGCGAGUCGGCGUAUCAAGCCACCAUGGCAACCCUGGUGGGUGUGGCUCUUCCUGUCUUGUUGCCGGGGUAACGUCCAUCCUGCUGACUUGUGGGUUAGGGCUAGGUUCAGGUAAUCUGGUGUUAUACCAUUGGACAAAACACCAGUCUUACACUCAACUAUAACUGAGUUUAUUAAAGUGUUAAUCUGGUUAUUCUGAUUUUGUCUCUGUAUGACAGAAGACAAGCAUUCUCUCGGUUCUUUCCUAUUCUGACCAGCCCCCCUCAUCUCUCUGACCCUGCUCCCCCUCCUCUCUCUGACCCUGCUGCCCCCUCCUCUCUCUGACCCUGCUCCCACCUCCUCUCUCUGACCC
Oncorhynchus tshawytscha (Chinook salmon) is the source of this 3382-nucleotide long non-coding RNA. Lineage: Eukaryota; Metazoa; Chordata; Actinopteri; Salmoniformes; Salmonidae. The record is from Ensembl.